CUUGGUUACAACCAGACCUCCUGUUUGCUUCUGUGGUUUCUCUCCUUCAGCAAGUAGUCCUGAAACACACACAUCACUAGCAUCAGUGGUGGGUACAAAUGCGUUACAAAAAAUGCAUGUAGGUUAAGAAAAAUCAAAUGAACAAAAUCU
Long non-coding RNA from Thalassophryne amazonica, 150 nucleotides. RefSeq lists it as uncharacterized. NCBI's taxonomy places the organism in Eukaryota, Metazoa, Chordata, Actinopteri, Batrachoidiformes, Batrachoididae. The transcript is spliced from 3 exons. The record is from RefSeq and is a predicted model, not a curated record.